Molecule: ribosomal RNA, 439 nt
Filed under: uncultured bacterium
Lineage: Bacteria
Description: partial 16S ribosomal RNA
Rfam family: Bacterial small subunit ribosomal RNA
Source: RNAcentral
CUACGGGGGGCUGCAGUGGGGAAUAUUGCACAAUGGAGGAAACUCUGAUGCAGCAACGCCGCGUGGAGGAUGACACUUUUCGGAGCGUAAACUCCUUUUAUAUAGGAAGAAGAUGACGGUACUAUAUCAAUAAGCGCCGGCUAACUCCGUGCCAGCAGCCGCGGUAAUACGGAGGGCGCAAGCGUUACUCGGAAUCACUGGGCGUAAAGAGCGUGUAGGUGGAUUAAAAAGUCAGAAGUGAAAUCCUAUAGCUUAACUAUAGAACUGCUUCUGAAACUCUUAAUCUAGAAUAUGGGAGAGGUAGAUGGAAUUUCUGGUGUAGGGGUAAAAUCCGUAGAGAUCAGAAGGAAUACCGAUUGCGAAGGCGAUCUACUAGAACAUUAUUGACGCUGAGACGCGAAAGCGUGGGGAGCAAACAGGAUUAGAUACCCCGGUAGUC